RNAcentral lists this transfer RNA (79 nucleotides) under Caudoviricetes sp. Its description in RNAcentral is "tRNA-OTHER". The record is from RNAcentral. Lineage: Duplodnaviria; Heunggongvirae; Uroviricota; Caudoviricetes.
GCAGUGCAACGACUUUAGCGUUUCAAUUCACUGACUACGAAUCAGUAGGUCGGGGGUUCGAGUCCCUUCUGCCGUACCA